RNAcentral lists this ribosomal RNA (1446 nucleotides) under uncultured marine cyanobacterium. Its description in RNAcentral is "bacterial SSU rRNA". It matches the Rfam family "Bacterial small subunit ribosomal RNA". Lineage: Bacteria; Bacillati; Cyanobacteriota. The record is from RNAcentral.
GAGUUUGAUCAUGGCUCAGGAUGAACGCUGGCGGCGUGCUUAACACAUGCAAGUCGAACGAACCUUCGGGUUAGUGGCGGACGGGUGAGUAACGCGUGAGAAUCUGCCCUCAGGAGGGGGAUAACAGCUGGAAACGGCUGCUAAUACCCCAUAUGCCGCGAGGUGAAAUGAAUUUCGCCUGAGGAUGAGCUCGCGUCUGAUUAGCUAGUUGGUGUAGGUAAUGGCUCACCAAGGCAUCGAUCAGUAGCUGGUCUGAGAGGAUGAUCAGCCACACUGGGACUGAGACACGGCCCAGACUCCUACGGGAGGCAGCAGUGGGGAAUUUUCCGCAAUGGGCGAAAGCCUGACGGAGCAACGCCGCGUGAGGGAUGAAGGCCUCUGGGCUGUAAACCUCUUUUAUCAAGGAAGAAGAUCUGACGGUACUUGAUGAAUAAGCCACGGCUAAUUCCGUGCCAGCAGCCGCGGUAAUACGGGAGUGGCAAGCGUUAUCCGGAAUUAUUGGGCGUAAAGCGUCCGCAGGCGGCCCUUCAAGUCUGCGGUUAAAAAGUGGAGCUUAACUCCAUCAUGGCAGUGGAAACUGAGGGGCUUGAGUGUGGUAGGGGCAGAGGGAAUUCCCGGUGUAGCGGUGAAAUGCGUAGAUAUCGGGAAGAACACCAGUGGCGAAGGCGCUCUGCUGGGCCAUCACUGACGCUCAUGGACGAAAGCCAGGGGAGCGAAAGGGAUUAGAUACCCCUGUAGUCCUGGCCGUAAACGAUGAACACUAGGUGUCGGGGGAAUCGACCCCCUCGGUGUCGUAGCCAACGCGUUAAGUGUUCCGCCUGGGGAGUACGCACGCAAGUGUGAAACUCAAAGGAAUUGACGGGGGCCCGCACAAGCGGUGGAGUAUGUGGUUUAAUUCGAUGCAACGCGAAGAACCUUACCAGGGUUUGACAUCCUGCGAAUCUCUUGGAAACGAGAGAGUGCCUUCGGGAACGCAGUGACAGGUGGUGCAUGGCUGUCGUCAGCUCGUGCCGUGAGAUGUUGGGUUAAGUCCCGCAACGAGCGCAACCCACGUCUUUAGUUGCCAGCAUUUAGUUGGGCACUCUAGAGAGACCGCCGGUGAUAAACCGGAGGAAGGUGUGGAUGACGUCAAGUCAUCAUGCCCCUUACAUCCUGGGCUACACACGUACUACAAUGCUACGGACAAAGGGCAGCAAGUUCGCGAGGACAAGCAAAUCCCAUAAACCGUGGCUCAGUUCAGAUCGUAGGCUGCAACUCGCCUACGUGAAGGAGGAAUCGCUAGUAAUCGCAGGUCAGCAUACUGCGGUGAAUACGUUCCCGGGCCUUGUACACACCGCCCGUCACACCAUGGAAGUUGGCCACGCCCGAAGCCGUUACUCCAACCCUUGUGGAGGAGGACGUCGAAGGUGGGGCUGAUGACUGGGGUGAAGUCGUAACAAGGUAACC